GUUCACCUACGGGAGGCAGCAGUGGGGAAUAUUGCACAAUGGGGGGAACCCUGAUGCAGCGACGCCGCGUGAGUGAAGAAGUAUUUCGGUAUGUAAAGCUCUAUCAGCAGGGAAGAUAAUGACGGUACCUGACUAAGAAGCCCCGGCUAACUACGUGCCAGCAGCCGCGUUAAUACGUAGGGGGCAAGCGUUAUCCGGAUUUACUGGGUGUAACGGGGGCGAAGGUGGCAGGGCAAGUCAGAUGUGAAAGCCUAGUGCCCAACCCCGGUACUGCAUUUGAAACUGUC
Molecule: ribosomal RNA, 287 nt
Filed under: uncultured bacterium
Lineage: Bacteria
Description: partial 16S ribosomal RNA
Rfam family: Bacterial small subunit ribosomal RNA
Source: RNAcentral